Molecule: ribosomal RNA, 734 nt
Filed under: uncultured Fusobacterium sp.
Lineage: Bacteria; Fusobacteriati; Fusobacteriota; Fusobacteriia; Fusobacteriales; Fusobacteriaceae
Description: bacterial SSU rRNA
Rfam family: Bacterial small subunit ribosomal RNA
Source: RNAcentral
GAUGAACGCUGACAGAAUGCUUAACACAUGCAAGUCUACUUGAAUUUGGGUUUUUAACUUAGGUUUGGGUGGCGGACGGGUGAGUAACGCGUAAAGAACUUGCCUCACAGCUAGGGACAACAUUUAGAAAUGAAUGCUAAUACCUAAUAUUAUGAUAAUAGGGCAUCCUAUAAUUAUGAAAGCUAUAUGCGCUGUGAGAGAGCUUUGCGUCCCAUUAGCUAGUUGGAGAGGUAACAGCUCACCAAGGCGAUGAUGGGUAGCCGGCCUGAGAGGGUGAUCGGCCACAAGGGGACUGAGACACGGCCCUUACUCCUACGGGAGGCAGCAGUGGGGAAUAUUGGACAAUGGACCGAGAGUCUGAUCCAGCAAUUCUGUGUGCACGAUGAAGUUUUUCGGAAUGUAAAGUGCUUUCAGUUGGGAAGAAAGAAAUGACGGUACCAACAGAAGAAGUGACGGCUAAAUACGUGCCAGCAGCCGCGGUAAUACGUAUGUCACGAGCGUUAUCCGGAUUUAUUGGGCGUAAAGCGCGUCUAGGUGGUUAUAUAAGUCUGAUGUGAAAAUGCAGGGCUCAACUCUGUAUUGCGUUGGAAACUGUAUAACUAGAGUGCUGGAGAGGUAAGCGGAACUACAAGUGUAGAGGUGAAAUUCGUAGAUAUUUGUAGGAAUGCCGAUGGGGAAGCCAGCUUACUGGACAGAUACUGACGCUGAAGCGCGAAAGCGUGGGUAGCAACAGG